CCAAUUCAAAAAACCCCAUUAACCUAGUUAGAUAAAUCAAACCAAAAUAAGUUCAUACAUAUCUAUUACUCCACUAACAAUUCGAAUACUUGAAACUUCAUAAGACCCAUUUCAUUCCAGCUUCAAUUCGAGCACAUACACUAGUUAGUUUUGAACAAGUACCUGGAAAAUGGAGAUUCAAAGAAUAAGAAAAGAUCAGCAGUGGCAUAUAGCAAGCAGCAACACUUUGAAAUAACCAACAGCAAUAAAUACACAGCCCAGAAAAUUGAAGUGUAGCCCAGAAAGAUAUUUGAAAACCAGACGAAGGGAA
Molecule: long non-coding RNA, 310 nt
Filed under: Nicotiana benthamiana
Lineage: Eukaryota; Viridiplantae; Streptophyta; Magnoliopsida; Solanales; Solanaceae
Description: long non-coding RNA (NBEN_LNC030371)
Source: RNAcentral